This 860-nucleotide small RNA is filed under the name Histoplasma capsulatum. Its description in RNAcentral is "hypothetical RNA". Lineage: Eukaryota; Fungi; Ascomycota; Eurotiomycetes; Onygenales; Ajellomycetaceae. The record is from RNAcentral.
GGGACAUGCAACGAGUUAUUUUGAUGCUUUUUACCCUUAAUGGAAGAAAGUGGGAUUGAGAUGUUGGUUGUGCUGUUUGCCAGGGUGUAGGACAGACCAAGAGGUUGUUUACCCUGGAAACUUGGCCCUUGGAAUUUUAUGUUAUUCCUUUGCUCUGUUAGCCGUGGUUUUCUCCAACCAAUCUUUUCACCUCAUCUGGGGCCAUAGCUCCUCGAUCGGAGUUUCAACAUGGCGCCUGCUUCUCGCUUCAUUAUCCUCUGGCCGAGCGUGAAUGAUGACAGCCGCUGCGUGGUCAGAUCACUGGUUGGUUGUUCCAACUGAUUGUGAGUGAAUCUGGGUGCUCAAGCCUAACAAUCGCAUGUCACCCUCAUAAUUCGUCUUUUGGCUUUUCAGUCAACUCUCUCUGUCCAACCUUUCUUGCUGCCACAGUGCACGUACAGUGGGAAGUGAUUCCCGUGGCACAUUGUGGGAAAUUCCAGCCCCUUCCACCAACCAGUAGCACAGAGGGCACUUCUAUAUAAAAACACAUCCAUCAAAUCUGAACAUGCCCGGCACCAUCAAGCGGAACACAUAAAUAGUCAACCCCCGAGAACCUGUAGUUUGUUGUUGCAGAGUUUAAUAAAUAUGCCAGUACUCUGAAAAAAAAAAUUCAACGUCGUCACUGUCUUUGUGAACUGGCUGACUGUUGUUAUAGGUCCAUAACGACUAGAAGCGGGUUGAUGGGCCAUUGAAUAAGGGUAUUUUCUGUAGCUAGUCAGUUAGCAAGUGCUGAUGUGAUGUGAGAAGGAAAUAAGUGCUUGAUGAUCCAUUAGAAAUUUCGCAGUAGCCCCUGGAUAACAAGUCGAACGAAAUAAGCAAUC